This 28-nucleotide small RNA is filed under the name Bombyx mori (domestic silkworm). RNAcentral's name for it is "ovarian small RNA-5654". The record is from RNAcentral. Lineage: Eukaryota; Metazoa; Arthropoda; Insecta; Lepidoptera; Bombycidae.
UAACCGAGUAUAAUUAAAUAGGCCACGC